This is a long non-coding RNA of Daucus carota subsp. sativus, 1425 nucleotides long. RefSeq lists it as uncharacterized. The transcript has 2 exons. The record is from RefSeq and is a predicted model, not a curated record. NCBI's taxonomy places the organism in Eukaryota, Viridiplantae, Streptophyta, Magnoliopsida, Apiales, Apiaceae.
UUUCAUUCAGAUGUUUAUUUAUUUGUUUUAUUAUUCUAGUAAUUAAGGUAGGAGAGCUCAGAAAGGGACACAAUCUCGUGGCCACUGCUGUGCAGUGCAGCGACUCUCAUCCUUCAGGGAUUGACUCCGCAGCGGAUGGCUGCUGUUGCUUUGAACUCAAUUAAAUUCUUUCUCGAAGCUCAUCUCUUGCACGAUGACUCAAUCUCAAGAUCCGAUUAUCCAAAAUAAAAAGGAGACUGUGCAUUAUUUUUUCUAAUAGUUGACGCCAUCUCCAGAAGUUUAUUUGCGAUCUCCUCAAUUGCUUCCGCUUCCGCAGGCCCAGUUCCACUUCCGACAUCCUUUGGUAAUUUCUCCAAUACCUCCUUGAAGUAAGUACUAAUGAAGGGAAUGUAGACGUUUAAUUGGUACCCAACCUUGCAAAUCUUUGAUACUCCGUGGACCAGAAAUUCGAAGCCAAAUGUGUCACCUGCCCUUCGAAUUAUUGGUAGAUAUUUUCUGAGGUAUUUUUUCAGUGCUUCCUUGACAUGAUUGGCUUCCUGUGCCUGGGCCUCGGAGGCAAGUCCUCCAUCUACAAGCACAUACUCAUCGUAUAUUUCAUGUAGAAGUGAGUUACUUGAUUCCACAAAUUCAUAAGAAAAAGGUCGAUGGGGGUCCUCAGAGGCAUCUUCUUCAUCAAUUAUCAUGUACUCUUCAUCAAUUUGUUUCAAAAAAGGUGCUGGAGAUUGGUGAGAUGGGCAAGAAUUGCUUCCCAGUACAGGGUUUGAGCAAUUAGUAAGAAGGAGAUUUUUGUCAGAAUGUGUUGGAGGCCGAAAACAACGUGAAGAGCUUGAUAGAGGGGGGUCUGUAGGAAUCUGUGGUGUAAGAACCAAUGCUUGUAGAGUCUGAUCUUGUUCUUUAAGAAAUAAAGGGGAGGUUGAAGAAGAUGGUGGGGUUCUGUGAGAAGAGGGAGAAGAUAGAGGGGUUCUUGAAAAUUCGCUUGAUGAUGGGGGUUUUGCGGGAAGCGUAGGUCCAGGGAGAGAGUGGUUAAACUGUCGAGCUUCUUGUUCUUGAAGAAUUGAUGAGGAUGGUGGGUCUGAGAUCACCAUUGAAAGUAAAAGAAUAGAGAGAAAGGAUUGACAAGUUGAGAAUGCUGUAGCUUUGGAAUUUGCCAUUGCCAUGAAGGUGAACUUCUAAGUAAUACAAUGUGUGAGUUCGUUUCAAGAUGAAGAUGAAGAUGAGAAAUAGAAGAAGCUGAAGAUGAACCAGGUGCAAUAAGCAGCAGCAAGCAGGUGUCUGUUAUAUAACAAACUCGACUGCCCGCGCGUGCUUAUAUAUUGGCGGGAUGGGCUGGAGAUAAUAUAACUAAAUAUUUGCAAUUUCUUUUUUUUUUUUUGAAGAGACCAUUAUGUUGCCUCCUGUUAAUUAAUGUAUUUAUUCUUCUUGUCA